Molecule: RNA transcript, 5455 nt
Organism: Mobula hypostoma (lesser devil ray)
Lineage: Eukaryota; Metazoa; Chordata; Chondrichthyes; Myliobatiformes; Myliobatidae
Gene name: mitochondrial calcium uniporter regulator 1-like
Exons: 10
Source: RefSeq, a predicted model, not a curated record
UCACUUCGUCGCCUGGUAUGACGCCAGACGUUGGUCAGUGAUGACGGUGGUGUGCGUCCGGCGAUGGCGGCAGCUGCCUGCCGGUCCUUGGACGGUGUCCUGUCUGCAGUUUGCGGCGGCCGGGUACCGGGUUACGGCGGCACUGGGAGGAGGCGAUGGCGUGGGCAGGGUGGACCGCAGACCGAUGCGGAGAGGGCUAUGCUCGUCAGUGAUCUCUCUGCAUUAUAAUUCAAGAAGAAUGUCUUCGGUGGAAGGUCAAAAAUUCUAUUUUGAUACCCAUGCAGUUGUGCGACAUUUGGAAGAACGUGGUUUCAGCUCUAAACAAUCGGAGGUUGUGGUAACUACACUGCUGAGAGUCAUGAAUUCUAAUAUGGAAAUUACAUACAAAGACAUGGCGACAAAAAAUCAACAAGAGAUAAUGCUUCAGCAGAUUAUGUCACACAUAGCAGCUGUAAAGAAAGACAUGAUUAUAUUAGAAAAGAGUGAAUUUUCAGCUUUGCGGGCUGCAAAUGAGAAACUGAAAAUUGAAUUGCAACAAUUAAAAAAACAGUUAACUGAUGAAGUUGUCAAAGUUUCAUCAAACAAUAAAUUGGACCUGAAUUUGGAAAAAGGUCGAGUCCAAGAAAUGUUAACAGAGCAUGAAAAAAGAGUAUUGGAAACCAAAGCAGAUAUAGUAGAAGUGCAUUCACAACAGGAAAGAGCUGUAACACAAGUGAACCAAAAGAUAGACACUGAAGUAGCAGGACUCAAAACUCUGUUGGAAUCACAUAAACUUGACACCAUUAAAUAUUUAGCAGUUCGAUGUCGCCAACACUGAGCACCCAAGGAGAGUUGCCGAAGCGACCUGCACCUUGGUCAUCUCUGAGGCUGAGGUACGCAGGUAUUUCCAACAAGUGGACAGUCACAAGGCUGCGGGACUGGAUAGCAGCCCAGGGUUCAGUUUUCACAUGCCUCACCGUAGUGCUUGGAUUUUAUCGCCUUUGGGUGUGAAAUUUAAUCCCUUGCUGGAUCUUCAUACUGAAAGGAUCAGGAAGAGCAACAUCUGUAAGCAAGAAAGACAAUCUCUUGAAAUGCUGCAAGGAGCCAAGAAAUUUACAUAUUGAUUUAAUUCAAAUAAUUCUGUGUAUCUGUUAAACAGAGUUUUAAAGGUUAAAGAAUAACAAGCCUUACGAAUUUACUUUAAAAAUUUAUUCAACCACUAAUGCAUAUUGAGAUGUUGCUGAAAAUGUACAAAUUCAUUUUGCUAUUUCUUAACAAAUGUACGAGGGAUGAUUGAUAGUCAAUUUUAGAAAACCUAGCACAUUUAUUUUUCAACUUAGUCCCCGCCUACAUUUACACACUUAUUAGAUUAUGGGGACACUCAGUCCUCGUUUAUUGUCAUUUAGAAAUGCAUGCAUUAAAAAAUGAUACAAUGUUCCUCCAGUAUGAUACCACAGAAACACAAGACAGACCAAGACUACAAUGGACAAAAACACAUAAUUAUAAUAUAUAGUUACAACAGUGCAAAGCAAUACCAUAAUUUGGUAAGAGCAGACCAUGGGCAUGGUUAAAAAAAAAAGUCUCAAAAGUCCUGAUAGCCCCAACAUCUCACGCAGACAGUAGAAGGGAGAAACUCUCCCUGCUAUGAGCUUCCAGCACCACAAACUUGCCGAAGCAGCAUCCUGGAAACACCUGACCACAGUCCGACUCUGAGUCCAUCCGAAAACUUCGAGCCUCCGACCAGCAAUCCGACACCGAGCACCAUCUCUGCCGAGCGCUUUGACCCUGCCCCUGGCCGCCGAGCAACAAGCAAAGCCGAGGAUUCGGGGCCUUCCCCUCUGGAGAUUUUGGAUCACACAGUAGCGGCGGCAGUGAAACAGGCACUUCAGAAAGUUUGAAGUUAAUAACUCAUCAUGGGUGAUUGUUAAGUUUGUGGCCUAAGGUAGAAGGAGAUGAGUUAUUAACUUCAAACUUUCUGCAUAAUCACUUAAAGAGUUGACCUGCAUGUGCAUGUAACUAGAGCUGUAUAACUCAUCUCCUUCUUCCUUAGGCCACAAACUUAUCAAUCACCCAUCUGUGGACACUUGGAGGUCAAGAUCCGUGUACUCCACGACCGCUGGACUAAGUGCGUAAAUGUAGGAGGGGACUGUGUUGAAAAAUAAAUGUGCUAGGUUUUCGAAAAUUGACUCCUACCUUAGGCCAUGAACUUAUCAACCACCCCUGCUGUGAACCACUUCUACAAAGAAGGGAUCCGUAUGCUCCACAACCACUGGACUAUGUGUGUAUGCGUAGGAGGGAACUACAAUAUUUGUAUGUUGAAAAGUAAAUGUGCUAGGUUUUCUAAAAUUGACUGCUUCUACCUUAGGUCACAAACUUACCAAUCACCCCUCGUAUUUACUAAAUGUUGUCUGGUUCUAUUGGGCAACAACAAAUUAAAUUAUAACGGUAUUCACCAUUGCCGAGUGAUGCAAGGUGUCAAGCUGCUAGUGCCUCUUAAUUACUAGUCUGUAAACAAGAUGUGCUUCCAGAUAGUAACCAGUGAUGGCUGAUUUAUACCAAUAUUGGGACAAAUUUGAUGUCUAACCACAACAGUCAAAAAGACUUGAGAACCCCAAUUUUCUGAUGAAUCUUGACUUGUUUCCAAUAUUUAUGAGGCCCAACAUGACUGUUUGAGUUAUUUGUUGAUAAACAGUCACUAGCCGGUGCUGGGAUUAGACUUGCUUGUAUCAAAGUAUUUAAUGAAUCACCCAAAGAUUUCAUUGCUUGUGGUUAAGAUGAUAUGAGAAUCAUGCAAGAAAUUCAAAUAGGGCAGACAUAUAACCAUGUAACAAUUACAGCACGGAAACAGGCCAGUCUCGGCCCUUCUAGUCCGUGCCAGUGAACUCUUACUCUCACCUAGUCCCACCGACCUGCACUCAGCCCAUAACCCUCCAUUCCUCUCCUGUCCAUAUAUCCAUUCAAUUUAACUUUAAACGACAACAUCGAACCCGCCUCAACCACUUCUGCUGGAAGCUCGUUCCACACAGCUACCACUCUCUGAGUAAAGAAGUUCCCCCUCAUGUUACCCCUAAACUUUUGCCCUUUAACUCUCAACUCAUGUCCUCUUUUUUGAAUCUCCCCCAAUCUCAAUGGAAAAAGCUAUCCACGUCAACUCUAUCAAUCCCCCUCAUAAUUUUAAACACCUCUAUCAAGUCCCCCCUCAACCUUCUACGUUCCAAAGAAUAAAGAUCUAACUUGCUCAACCUUUCUCUGUAUCUUAGGAGAUGAAACUCAGGCAACAUUUUAGUAAACUUCCUCUGUACUCUCUCAAUUUUAUUGACAUCUUUCCUAUAAUUCAGUGACCAGAACUGUACAUAAUACUCCAAAUUUGGCCUUACCAAUGCCUUGUACAAUUUCAACAUUACAUGCUAACUCCUAUACUCAAUGCUCUGAUUAAUAAAGGCCAGCAUACCAAGAGCUUUCUUCACCACCCUAUCCACAUGAGAUUCCACCUUCAGGGAACUAUGCACCAUUAUUCCUAGAUCCCUCUGUUCUACUGCAUUCUUCAGUGCCCUACCAUUUACCAUGUAUGUCCUAUUUUGAUUAAUCCUGCCAAAGUGUAGCAACUCAAAUUUUUCAGCAUUAAACUCCAUCUGCCAUCUUUCAGCCCACUCUUCUAAGUGGUCUAAAUCUCUCUGCAAGCUUUGAAAACCCACUUCAUUAUCCACAAUGCCAUCUAUCUUAGUAUCAUCUGCAUGCUUACUCAUCCAAUUUUCCACCCCAUCAUCUAGAUCAUUAAUAUAUAUGACAAACAACAUUGGACCCAGUACAGAUCCCUGAGACACACCGCUACACACCCUCCUCCAAUCUGACACACAGUUAUCCACCACUACUCGCUGGCGUCUUCCAUCUAGCCACUGCUGAAUCCAUUUUAUUACUUCGAUAUUAACGCCUAACCAUUCCUAACUAACCUUCCGUGUGGAACCUUGUCAAAGGCCCUACUGAAGUCCAUAUAGACAACAUAACAUGUAUCACAACAUAUUGUAUCACAACAUGUGUGAGUAUUAUGGUUUCAUAAAAAUUUGUACAGAUUUUGAUGAAGAAAAUCCAGACAAUAUAUACAAGAGCAUGCUGAAAAAAAAUGUCCAACCAGCCUAUCGGAGCUUAGAGUUGCAUGUCAACUUGUCCGUCCACACAUUCAUCUGCAGAUAAAACUUUGUUUCAUCUUGAAAAUAUUUCCAUCUGUUAAUCAAGUUUAAAUUUUAAAAAGAAAAUUGUAUUUUAAUUCAUAGACUAAUAUAUUGGGAAAUUUUUGUCCUAUUAAAAUUAAAACUACAAAUAUUGUAUUAACAAUUUGAAAAGAAUUUCCAUUAUUUUGCCAUUUUCCAUAAAAUGGGACCCCAAAAAAAGUUUUUGAACCUAUCAACUUUUGAUCUGUUAUUGAUGGUAUUUCCUAAUCAGUAUUGCUGAUGUUGAUCUAGAUAGCACGAAAGGCCCAGUGCAAUAGGCAUUGGGGAAUAAUGCUUUAUCUUCAUUAAAUAUCAAGAGUUGUACUGCAAUUCUGCACCUUAUUUCCAAUAAAUUGCAAUUUUUUUUCUAUAUGUGGCUUGUUCAUUAGAUUUUUGGUGGAACCCUGUCUAGCUGGUAUUCCUGCCUUAGACUGUGUACUAGUUCAUGUACAGUUUAUGAGAUCCCACUAACUUGGAUAUCAAAUUCUAGGCCUAUGGAAUAAGAACAAAAUUGGAAGGUUUGUUACUUCUCCUGUUUUACUUAUAAUGCUUUUAAUUGUUGUGCUGUUAGCAGUUUCUUCAUUUAAAUUAAAUUUAAAAUUUAAUGUUGUGGUUGUAGAGCACUGAAAUAGCCCAUUGUCCACCAUGUCCAUGCCAACAUUUUUGCUCAUCUUAGACUAACCGCAUUUGCCCACAUUGGGGUAAUGUCUCUGAUAUAUUUUCAAUGUUAAACUUUGACAGCAGCAAAGCCUGUCAGAGGAGUUGGGGUAUUUAAAAUAAAUAAAUAAACUACUGGAAGAACUUAACAGUAGUUAAGUUGCAUCUCUGGAAGCGGGGUUAGUCGAUAUUUUCAGUCAAGACCCUGCAUCAGUUCUGAGGAUGUUGGGGUAAGUGUUGGUGCCUCUAUAAUACACUGGAGAUCAAUUUUCUGUGCAGAUUUUUCUGCCUUGCAUUAAUGUAGAGGAUGAGUAAGAUUGUCCUUCAGCAUCCAGUUUAAAUAGAUUUGAGAUGGCAGAUCCAAUAAGAUAAAACCACUUUAAUACACAUUACCUUGAAUGCACUGAUACAGCCAGAAUAGGAAUUUUGAUCUACAAUUCAUAUUUUAAGUUUGGAACUUUAUCUUUAUCUCUGAUACCAAAAUAAACAAAAUAAUAUUUUCUGCCAUUUUGUUGACACUGCCUCAGUUUUAUUUUAUCCUGUCAUUUGUAAUGUUUGUAUGAUCAACAAUCAGAAAUAAAUUACUUUAACAGGACCUGGUCUUUGCAGCC